UGGCAGGAAGCAGCGUUCCAUCUGAAAACAUCCCCAUCACCCUGCUUCCCUCCCCCAGUGGGGGCAGGAGCUGACUCACUCGCUGGGCUCUACUGGGCUCCUUCGGUCCUGAUGGGGCUGUGUGCAUAGGAAUGUGCAUGCGCACCCACACCUCCAAAACACAACCCCAUGCGGUCUCCACGAUGCACCAUCCCUGAAGGGGGUGUAUCUCCCAUGCCUGGAGCUGGGACCAAAGCCGUUCUCCAAAGGCUUGUUAAUUCUUAGACAGUCGGGUGUGAAUAUCGUUCUGACGUUUAUAGCGCAGUCUUCUCCACACUGCUGUCUCUCCCACGCAGAGCCACGCACCUGCCGGAGAGAAGGCAAGCAUCCCACAGCAGAUGUUUUGGGCCCUGGGAAUGCUUAAAUAUGUACUCUAUCAAAGGCGCUGUUACCCAAACACAGGACCCGAGGAGGGGGAGAUGAAGGGAGGGGCACUCUGGCAUCCCCAAGCCUUCUUUUGGAGACGAGCAUGGAUGGCCAGAUAAAUCUCAGCCUUGGAUGAAAACAAAAGGCUAGUUUAGGAAAGAUGUUAGAAUUUAUAUUAAACACACACACACACAGUGCAACACGUGGCUAUGGAGUCAGAGAAACCUAAUUUGGCUCUCAAAUCUCCCAUCUCUAGCUGGGUGACCUUGGGUUGGUUGCUUAGCCUCUCUGAACCUCCUCACUCUGUAAAAUGGGGAUCUCAGAGGUAACUGCUUAGGGUUGUGGUCAGGUUAGAUUAGUGAUUCAUAAACCAGACCAGUGUUGGAUAUUAUUUUCUUUAAUUGGGCUUCUAAGUCAAGGUGGCUUGUCAGGCAACUCUAUCCUGAUACUAGAAAUAAUUCAAUUUCUAGCUGCCCUUGAUCUCAGCUUCCAGCUUCCAAUUCUGGCAUACCUAAAAGUUGGGUCCACAGGUCGUCUAUCCUGUAGGUCCAACCUCUUCCCAUUUGCUAGGUAUCUCUGGGUUUGAAGGGGAAAUGUAUGAUGUUCAGUGCUUUUCUGGUCGCAAGUGGCAAAAAACAGGAACUUCUGGUUUGUAUAACUAGAAAGUUCAUGGGUAUGUCUGACUGCCAAGGAGGUUAGGCAGAGGGGCACAAAUGUCACCUGGAGCCGGUUUUACUCCAUCUCCCCACUUUCUCCAAGUUAUCUCCGUUCUCAGACCUGCUUUCCCUCAUCAUCACAAGAUGGCUGCCAGCAGCAUUGGGUCCACACCCAGCGGAGGAAAGGGAAGUCUCUGUCAUGGCAUCCUCAGCAAAUCUUGAGGCUUAUGCUGACCAAGCAGGCUGAAGUGACCUUAAACCAGGACUGGUGGCCUGAGAAGGUACCUCACUCAUUGGCUGGGACUUGGGUCACGUGCCGACCCUGGGUGGGAGGCCUCACCUCUCCAAACAAAACUCAGGCUUCUUGCUGGAAGAAGAGGCUGGAAUGCUGGCAGGACCUAUUGCUGCCAUCACCUAUGUGGAUCACCUUCAGGCUGAGAUCCAGGGGACCCAGCCUGUAGCCUUCCCUGUGGUGCCCUCCUCUGACCACUGGCGUGUGUUACAGUAAGUGCUGGAAAGAUGGAACUCCUGCCUGCUCAGGUGUUGUGAGCAUUCAGUGAGCUGAGUUCAUCAUGAAGAGGCAAUGCUUUAUGCCACCAAACCCAUUUCUACAUCCUGAAUGCAAGAGGAGAUUGCAUGUUCCCCCACCUCCCUGCAGGUAGGUGGGGCCACAGGAUUGAUUUCUGGCCCCUGGACCGGGGUGAAGGGGUGGGGGGGAAUGGUAGGCCUACUCAGGUCCAGGCCUUGUCCUCUCUUUUCCCCAUAUGUCAUGUGGAAACAGAGGGCUCCCAAGUGGUGGAGCCCCAAUUCCUCAGUCCCUGUGUGGAGGAGGGCCCCAGAGAUCACCAGCCUUAAAUUUUGUGAUGGCAACAAGUAAACCACAGGUGCGUUGGGUCAUUGGUUCCCAAGGAGGGUGGGGGUGUUUGGUGAUAUCUUAAGAUGUUAGAUUUUCAUGACGUGGGGUGGGGUGGGGUGGGGUGGGGGAGAUGCUGCUGGCUUCUAGUGGGAAUAAGUCAGGGAUGCUGCUGCACAUACCAUCAUCCCAGACCAGCCUGAAUGGGCCCCUACAACAGUUACUCAGCCCCUAUGUCAACAGCACUGAGGUUAAGAAAUCCUGCUCUGAAAUAUGGGCAUGAGAGUUCCUGUUGUGGCUCAGCGGGUUAUGAACUUGACUAAUAUCCAUGAGGUUGCAGGUUCAAUCCCUGGCCUCACUCAGUGAGUUAAAGAUCUGAUGUUGCUGUGGCUGUGGCGUAGGCUGGCAGCUGCAGCUCCCAUUCCACCUCUAGCCUGGGAACUUCCAUAUGCUGCAGGUGUGGCUUUAAAAGGAAAAUAUAGACUCCUUAUCUUGGUCUGCAAGGCCCUGCAGGACCUGGGCCCUCCCACCCCUCUGACCUUACAGCUUCCUUCUCCCCUCCUCAUUUUACUCCAGUUUCUCUUGCCUUCCCUCUGAUCCUGUUUCAGACCCCACAGCCUUCAUCCUUGCUCUCCCUUUUUCCUUAAAUACUUUUCUUCCUGCUCUUCCAGUUUAAAUGUCACCUGCCCAGAGACAGCUUGCUGGUCACACAGUCCAUAUCCCAUCCCCACAACCACCUCACACCUCUGUCCUCAAACUACAUAGCUGUCAUUCUUCCAUGGCCAUGACUGUGAUUUACCACCAGGUCAUGUGCUGGUUACCUUGAGAGGGAGGGAUCUGUCUUCCUCCUGAAAUGCGAGGACAUGGGGACAAGCUCUGUGACCAUUUUGCUUAUUUCUGUCUCACCAGCACCUAGCAGAACAGCUGCAUGUGCGCAAGGUCAAAAAUAACUUUUGAAUGAAUGCAUAAAAGAAUCAUGGGUGGAAAGAGUGGAGUCUCUGUAGUCAGUAUCCCUGAAUGGAAUUCUGAUUCCAAGGCCACCUGUGCGUCACCUUUACUCUCCAAGGGGAUGAAAGUCCCCUUAUCUGUGAAAUGGGGGUAAGAUACCCCCAGCCCCAGGAUACUAUGCAGAGGAAAGGGAAUGUGUUAGCAGAGCACAGCACAGGCCCCUUUUAGCCAUGUGUUGACCAUAGAUGCUUGAAUAAAAGGAGGACAGUUCCCCUGUGUGCUGUUGUUUUGAGGGUGAACUCCUGAGGAGGAGGGAGAUGGAGUUGGGAUGCAAGAAAGGCACCUUCGAUGAAGAGUGGAGAACGUGUAUAGGUGAUCGGAGCCCUGGUUACCCAGGGAGCCUCUGCAUCUCCCUCUCUUGACAAUCCUUUCCCUCCUCCAUCCUCCAAGACCAUGAUCCCAGCUCCCUCCUGCCCAAAUCAUGGUCCCAGGCUGAUGCCUGGCCUCCCUGCCACCUGUCCCUCAGCUGCAGGAUCCAGGAAGGAUGCAGCCAUUGUUAGGAUCCCUGUUAUGAGAGUCACAGUCCACCCCUACUCUGUCUCUAUCUGUGUCCAUCUAGACCAUGCAGGAAAUGAAAGUGGGUAGCAGAGCGUCUGCAAUAAAUAGCUCAGACCCCAGGCGUGAGUGUCUGCAAAAAGGAAUGUGACCUGGGGCCUCUUUCUUUCAAGUAUAGCCUCAUAUCAGAUUGAGGGCCACAAAGGAACUUGGAUUGUUUCUACCUCUGGAUGUGUGAAGAGUGAGGACCACAGGCAGGUCCCAGAGAAGGCGGCAGACUAGGGGAGAGGUGGAUGCAGGAGCUCCAUCUGCUAGGAGAGGCAGAAGGGCUCCCCCAUGGCCUCUGGGGGCCACCUAACCUCCCUGAUUCCCUCGUCUAUAAAAUGGAGAUGAUGGCAGGCCCUGCCAGCUUAGUUUACUGUGAAAGUUAAGUGGGUUAAAGUACGUAAGGCACCACUUGAGGGUGGGCUGACCCAGGUGACUUGCUUCCAAAGAACAGGCAUGCAGAGGAGUUAUAGGUAACUUUCUAAUGGAGACCUGGCAAAUCCUGCCCCAAACCAGGUGACCAAGGUUAAUGUCACCGAUGACACCUUGAUCAUGGACUUCUAGCUUCCAGAACUGCAAGAUAAUAAUUUCCAUUGUCUUAUGUCACCCAGAUAACACAGGACCAAAAGCAGGGAUCAGGGUACAAGGGCAAAUGUCUUUGGCUUCUCCAGCUUCCAUUUCUCUGCUUUCUGCCUCUUCAUGGCCUUUAAGGCCCUCCCUUGCUGAAUGCAGAUUCAGCUGCUCAUCACUCAGGAAUUCAAUACUGAGAGCCAAGUGUUGGGUAAAAGGAAAGACAGCUUUGCUGUGGAAACUGGAAAUCCUGGGGAGAAGGCAGAGGACCAUGGGGGGUGGGUGGGGCUGGUUUCUGUCCUGGGAGGGCCUCAUAGCAUCCUGCUAUGACACUCUGAGGGUUACCCACCAUGGCCUUGCCAGGCCCCUGACUUGCCCUCUGUGCCCCACCCUUGGAGACCUCACUGGGCUUCAGGCUCCCUCCUUCCCUCCCAGCUGCCUUUGUAUAUGCAGUGGGAUUGGGUGGGGUUGAACAUAGUAAAGUAUCUUCUCUUUCUCAUAAUAAGCUGCUGGGCUGAAGUUGGGAGGCAGCACUUGGGCCCUAUUUUUUGAUAGUUUUGUUAAGGCUGUAGAGAUCUGAGCACUUCUUGAUUUUAAUGAUGACUUCAAGCACAAAUCUCCCAGGCAGCAGAAAAACCCUCAUGCACCAUCCACUUACUCCAGAUUUGUAAGCUGAGGGGGGUGGGCUUUCCAGGGCACCAGAUGAUCUUUGUGCAGUGCCAGCUUGCCCCAUCAGGCCUCCCAGCAUUCACUUGGUUGCUCCUUCUGCCUGCAAUGACCUAAGGACUGCUGAAAUAUCCUGUUGCCAGCUACUAUCAGAAAUUUCUGGAGUUCCCAUCAUGGCGCAGCAGAAACGAAUCCGACUAGGAACCAUGAAGUUGUGGGUUUGAUCCCUGGCCUCACUCAGUGGGCAUUGCCAUGAGCUGUGGUGCAGGUCACAGACUUGGCUCGGAUCCCACAUUACCGUGGCUGUGGUGUAGGCCAGCAGCAACAGCUCUGAUUAGAUCCCUACCCUGGGAACCUCCACAUGCUGCGGGUAUGGCCCUAAAAAGACAAAAGACAAACAAACAAACAAACAAAUUCCCCUUCUUAUAUAGUCUUGGAUCCACAGAGGGAGGACCUGGAAUUAGGCUGCUUGGGUUCAAAUCCUGGGACCAAGACUAAUUGUGUGACCCCAGACAAGUUACUUAACUUCUCUGUGUCUCCGUUUCAUCUGAGAAGACUUUAUUAUCUGCAAAAUAAAAUAAUAAUAGCACCUAUCCCUGAGGUUGUUGUAGGGAUUCAGCGAGAAAAUGCCAACAGCAGAUUUGUGCCUGAUGCUAACAAAGAUUAGCUCUGUCAUCCAGGGCACGAGUUUCAAUAUCUUUGUGCUUCAUCCUAUGCUCUUACUUAGAACUUAAUUUCUUUAGAUCCAACCGAAUCUUUUUCACACAACUAAUUUAUCUACUGCUGAGUAAUUUGUUAUCAGAGAUGGUGUGUUGCAGACAGAACAAAGAUUAAGAUGCUGUGAGCUGGACACAUCUGGAAGACACACAUUUCCAGUAUGAGGAAACAGGAUACUGUGUGGAGAGAAAUCAUUUAUGGGUCAAAAGGAGCCUGGGCUGAAUUAAACCUCUUGACUUCACUACCAAUUAAAACAUUACAAUAGCAGCACAAGUUACAUAUAGCCUGCAACCUUGUCACAGUGAGCCUUCAUGCUGGAAACUGACUGCAAGUCCCCCUUUAAAAGUAAGAACAUGCCUGGGUGGCCAUGCUCACAGGGAAAUAAUUGCUGUGUUUCCAAAGGCCGCCUCUCUCUCCUUUUAUUUAAGGUACCUGGUGGAUUUAACAGGCAAUUAAAAUCCAAUAGUAGAAGGAAAGGAAGAAGGUAAUCACUCUCCCACCCAGCCUCACCCCCUUGGGACCCAACAAGGGUGGAGGGAUGAGCUGGAGCUCAAAGCUCUGCAAAAUAUGCAGUGUCACAACACAGACUGUAGUUAGGCCUGCUCUAUGCAGGCGAGAAAACUGGCGCUGAGGGGAACUUCUAUACCCGCAGGAGAUGCGUGCACAGCACUUCUCAGCUUGCAAGCCAUUUCCACACUCCUUAUCUCAAACAUUCAGGCAUCCAAUUGGGUGCGAACACAUAGGCUCCGCAGACUCCGAGGUUCUCAGUGUAACUAGAGGGCUGCAGCUGAGCCCAGCCUAGUCUUGGAGGAAAUCCUAGAGUCCUGCCCUCCCCCUUCUUCCUGGACAAACCCAGGUCCAUAUGCGAGACAUAGUGGCCUGAGAUCUGGCUUAGAAGAUGACAUCCCAAAAGGAGAGCAUGGUCUGAUGAAAUCAGAAGGGCGGUGGCCUCAAUUUUUGAACUUGGCAGAGGAAGGCAAUUCCAGAUAGGGCCAGAAAUUUGGGAAGCAUAAAAGGAAGGAGGAUUUGAGGAACAGAAUUACAUGAGAAAUGGCUGGUGUGCCAGGAGGGUGUUCAAUCCAAGAUGAAGCUUUCUGUACUUCUGAAGAACUGGAUGUGUGCAAAGGCUGGGGAAUUCAGGAGACUCCCUGGUUUAUUCCUGGUUAUUUAUUUAUGUUUAUUUAUUUAUUUAGUUAGUUAGUUAUUUUGCUUUUCAGGGCCGUACCCGAGGCAUAUGGAAGUUCCCAGGCUAGGGGUCAAAUCAGAGCUAUAGCCACCUUUUUAUGCCACAGCCAUAACAACUCAGGACCCAAGCCACAUCUAUGACCUACAUCACAGCUCAUGGCAAUGCUGGAUCCUUUACCCACUGAGCAAGGCCAAGGAUUGAACCUCCAUUGUCAUGCAUACUAGUCAGAUUCAUUUCCACUGAGCCACAAGGGAACUCCCUAUUUCUGGAAUUUAAAUGGCUUGGGAGGUCAUUUAAAUCAGCUGUCCACCACUCUCAUGUAAAAUUCUGAUGAGGGUAAUGUGCAGACUUGCCUGAUGACAUGGGGAUGAUAGCAGGGACACUGAACAGGCAUUAUAUAGAGAAAGCUAAACUCUCAAGGUCUUCUGGGGCAUCCAUAAACAACUAUAAGUUCUUUCUAGCAGUCCAAGGUCAGAAUAUUGGCCUCACUAUCAGUGGCCAGUUAGGUAAGGAAACUGAAGUUCAGGUUUCCAAUCUAUCUGUGGCUUUUCCUUCUGCCCUCUUCCUCCAUCUUCCUUCUCCCCUAACUCCCUUACCCUAUCUCCCCUCCCCCUACCCCAUCUCCCCUCUCCCU
RNAcentral lists this long non-coding RNA (7235 nucleotides) under Sus scrofa (pig). RNAcentral's name for it is "lncRNA (ENSSSCG00060045415.1)". The record is from RNAcentral. Lineage: Eukaryota; Metazoa; Chordata; Mammalia; Artiodactyla; Suidae.